Liolophura sinensis is the source of this 1308-nucleotide long non-coding RNA. RefSeq lists it as uncharacterized. Lineage: Eukaryota; Metazoa; Mollusca; Polyplacophora; Chitonida; Chitonidae. The record is from RefSeq and is a predicted model, not a curated record. The transcript has 3 exons.
UACGUAUUCAUGUUGUUGUUGUAACUCGUAAACACACCGAUUUGUGUGCGGAUGGCUAGCUUUGUCUGAUAGUCACAUGUGGGUGUAGAUCAUAAUAACAUCUCCUUGUAGGGCCUUUAUUCCCACUAAUUUUAUUUUGGAAAUGUUAUGUAUUUUUAGUAUUAUAAAAGUGAUAUGAUGGUGCCUUUCUUCAUGUCAGCUAGCCUCUACUGUCCAAGCGGGUAACCUCUUCUAUGUUUCAUUUAAACCUAAGGAUUGAAACACUUUGCGUGGCAUACAAAAGGUCAAAAAUUUACAUUCUUGAAUUUUAUUUUGAAUUACUAAUAGCCAUAAAACAACAUCACUCUAAACCUGUGGUUUGAAGAUCUGUCUUUUCAUUCUUUAAUUGUGUAAUGUCAUAUUGUUAGCUUUACAUAAAAAUUUCUAUUGUUCAGAUUAUCUCUGUGGCAGAAUCUUGAGAAUGUUGUCCAGAAGAGGUUGCUCCAGAUAUCUCAGAGCCGGAUAUCCCAGACCCAGGGGCCUCAGUGCUAGAUACCUCAGAGUUGGAUAUUACACCAGACUCGUGUAUUGAGGACAUCAGUUUUACCACUGAUGUUGAACUUUGCAGUAAGAGCACUAGGGCAACAUAAGUUAAUAUUUGCCCAAAGCGAAGAAGCAAAGGUAUUUCAUACAAAAGGCAGCCUGCUACUGCAUGCACAGCAGUACAGUGCAACCUAUUGGACGCACCCGCUCUCUGCCCCCUGUCUGAGGUUGAUGAAGAUAGUGGUGAGGAGAGUGAAGAGUCAGAAGAAGAUGACCAUAAUGAGAAAGAUGAUCCAGUUUAUCACCCUGACGAGGAAGACUUGCAAGAAGAGGAGCCAAUCAUUAGACUUUCCUCAAUCACCAAAGUCGUUCUUGAAGAAAGCUGUCAGCACCGUGUGGUCAGAAGAGAGAGGAGCAUUGCUGACAGAACUCAAAACGUGUCAGACUGGCUUACAUAGUGCAAAGUAUGGCACUUACAGCAUUCUGGAAACAAAGAUCAUUAAAGUCACCAACGUUGAAACAGUGACUGUAAGAUCAUUUUUUUGCAAUAAAAUUACAAAAAUUCAUUGUAAUAAACUAAAAUGUGAUCAGACAUAAAAUUAUGCUAAAUCAUUCAUGGUUACAAUUUGCACAGUUAUGCCUCUUUUUAUUGUCCGUCUGUUCUUUGUCCAGCUUUGUUACUGGCCUAGUAUCGAACAGUUAAAAUUACACUGUGUGUAAAUUAAGAGGUGUGUACUUUGUAAUCGUGAGGUCUCAGUGGUUAUGGUGCAGCCCUUUUUGUGAAAU